UACUUGAACACCUCGAAUUGGUCCGCCGGAUGCAGCGGUUAGGUUAUGCGUCAAGUGUCCUGUUAGCUGGAUUGCGUUGAUUUGACGAUCGUUUCCGCGACGCGGCUUGUUUCGCAUGUAUCUUUGAUGCGGCAGCGGUUCAACGUCAGGGUUUCGGCCCGCGGGCGAGUGGUACUGGCUUCACGGCACGAUCGUGUUCAGCGAUCAGGCGGGCAUUGUGACGCCGCUGGCGCUCGACUUCGGUUUCAGCUUCGAGGAUACGCUUGAGCAGAACGGCGUUUUCCGUGACCAAGCGUCUUUCCUCGACCCGCAGAACCUGGAUCAGAGAUCGUUGCUGGGCAAGUUUGUCUUCCCAAGCUGCCAGCUUUUCCGGGACGACCUUGCGGUCGCUGGCGCGGCGCAACUCGUCGAUCAUCGCGCGAUGGUUGGUGUAGAUGGCGUUGCGACCGAUGCGCGCUUCCCGUGCGAGCGUCGCAACGGUG
This 482-nucleotide unclassified non-coding RNA is filed under the name Hevea brasiliensis (rubber tree). The record is from RNAcentral. Lineage: Eukaryota; Viridiplantae; Streptophyta; Magnoliopsida; Malpighiales; Euphorbiaceae.